This 207-nucleotide ribosomal RNA is filed under the name uncultured bacterium. RNAcentral describes it as "partial 16S ribosomal RNA". It matches the Rfam family "Bacterial small subunit ribosomal RNA", at positions 568 to 774 of the family's 1533-position model. The record is from RNAcentral.
CGCGUAGGUGGUUUGGUAAGUCGGAUGUGAAAGCCCCGGGCUUAACCUGGGAAUUGCAUUCGAUACUGCUUGACUAGAGUAUGGUAGAGGGAAGUGGAAUUCCAGGUGUAGCGGUGAAAUGCGUAGAUAUCUGGAGGAACAUCAGUGGCGAAGGCGACUUCCUGGACCAAUACUGACGCUGAGGCGCGAAAGCGUGGGGAGCAAACA